Odocoileus virginianus texanus is the source of this 1512-nucleotide non-coding RNA. NCBI's taxonomy places the organism in Eukaryota, Metazoa, Chordata, Mammalia, Artiodactyla, Cervidae. The record is from RefSeq and is a predicted model, not a curated record.
UACGGUUUAUGCGUCUUCCCCUUUACUUUGAGGCAGGAGACCUUGCAUAUUACACAAACCUCCGCUCUUUGCCCCCAUGUCAAGCGCAUUUUCUGUCUCCCGUGAGCGUCUAUGGAUUAAACUCUUUAGCCCUUAGUAUUCACAAGGAAUUUCCUGUGGUGUAUAGCGGGCCCCCAAAGUGUUGAACCAUGGUUUCUUGAAUUAAUUCUUCCUCGGAGAGGUGAGGAACUCAGAGUGGAUCCCUGGAAUUUGGCUGUUAUGUUACCUGAGGUGUUGUGGUAUAGAGUAUAUAGCAUGACCAUUUAUACAGAUUUGAGUUCUACCUUCACUGUGUGAUAUUAGUGAUUCUUGCAGCAAAUAGCUCUUGUUAUUGCUCCCCAAAUAUAAUUAUCACAUGGAGACAUACUGGAGACAGGUGUAGAGAUGACUACAGGCCAGCAUGAGAGGAGCGCCGCUGGCUGGGAAUGCGCUUUGAUGUCGACCUCUGGCUGCCACGGCCAGACCUGCCUUGGUGGGUGAGUAGCACGGGAGAGAGGGCGUGUGUGGGAGAGAGAAGGAUGAAAGGAGGGCGGCUGGGGCCCCGGGAUGCGGACAGACUCCUGCCUGUUCGUUUAGAUGCUUCAGGAAGGGAAAUGCUGAGCCUCACGAUUACAGAGGUGAUGAACCAGCUCAACUUUAGAAAUGACCAUGUGAAGUACUGCCUAACCCGAAGAAUCAAAUUAUUGUUCAGGCUUUUGGCGUUAAAAAAAAAAAAAAAAGAGAAGAAAGAGAUCAGCCAUGAGCAUUGCCAAAGAGAAAAAGACAUUCAGAUGACAUUCUAAGGAGCCUGGUUACUCGAGGAUGCAGGGAACCCGACACAGAGAUAGGGUCUGAGUGACGGCUUAGCACAACUUGCGCUCUUUCAGCUUUUGUUUUGAUGACUUGCACCAGAUGUCAGGAAUAAAUCACAGGCCCUGGUGGUAAGGCUACAUUUGUGAUGCAGGCAGGCAACACAUGAAAUCGUCACAUGCACAGUCUCCUCUGAUCUCUGGGGACCAGCCAGGCAAGGGGCAUCCUGAGAGGCUGAACCCACAAAGGAGCUUAUGGUUUAUAUGAAUUCUUGGCAUUCAGGAGCUACCUGAGGUCAGAUCAUGGAGUUUCUGAGGCUCUGUCUAGAUCAAAAGGCCUCAUAUUGCCAGGUUGUCAGGAUAGAUCAGACCUUGUUCUCCCAUAACCAACACUUGUUUCCUCUUCCUUCAACCACCUAUUUUGUUAAUCCCACCACAUAAAGGAAUGAGAGUCUCUCCUCAUCACUGAUUUCACAGCACAUUCUGUCAACGCUGUCUAGCAGGUUUGGGAAGGUGGAAGGAGGCAGAGAAAUUUUAUACAAAAUCCUUUUUGUUUUUUUUCUAUUUUGUUGACUCCCAAAGGAUAUUAUUUCAAAAAAUAUUAUCAUCAAGCAAGAGUUAAUUGAAAACCUACUACAUGCUGUAUCCAUCGUCUCAUUGUUCAGUUGCUAAGUCAUCUCCGACU